UGGACAGAAAGACCCUAUGAAGCUUUACUGUAACUUGAAAUUGAAAUUGGACUUUAUUCGCGCAGCAUAGGUGGGAGGCGUUGAUUAUAAUCCUGCGGGAUUAUUGGAGCCAUCAGUGAGAUACCACCCUUGUAAUGUUAGAUUUCUAACUUUGAAUCAUUAUCUGGUCAAAGGACAGUUUCAGGCGGGCAGUUUGACUGGGGCGGUCGCCUCCUAAACGGUAACGGAGGCGUACAAAGGUUUCCUCUGAACGGUUAGAAAUCGUAUCUAGAGUGUAAAGGCAUAAGGAAGCUUGACUGUGAGACCUACAAGUCGAGCAGGGACGAAAGUCGGUCUUAGUGAUCUGACGGUACUGAGUGGAAAGGCCGUCACUCAACGGAUAAAAGUUACUCUAGGGAUAACAGGCU
This 407-nucleotide ribosomal RNA is filed under the name uncultured eukaryote. RNAcentral's name for it is "bacterial LSU rRNA". It matches the Rfam family "Bacterial large subunit ribosomal RNA", at positions 2077 to 2483 of the family's 2925-position model. The record is from RNAcentral.